GACGAACGCUGGCGGCGUGCUUAACACAUGCAAGUCGAGCGGUAAGGCCCUUUCGGGGGUACACGAGCGGCGAAACGGGUGAGUAACACGUGGGUGACCUGCCCUCAGCUCUGGGAUAAGCCUGGGAAAACCGGGUCUAAUACCGGAUAUGACUCCAUGACGCAUGUUGUGGGGUGGAAAGCCUUGUGCGGCUGAGGAUGGGCCCGCGGCCUAUCAGCUUGUUGGUGGGGUGAUGGCCUACCAAGGCGACGACGGGUAGCCGGCCUGAGAGGGCGACCGGCCACACUGGGACUGAGACACGGCCCAGACUCCUACGGGAGGCAGCAGUGGGGAAUCUUGCGCAAUGGGCGAAAGCCUGACGCAGCGACGCCGCGUGAGGGAUGACGGCCUCGG
RNAcentral lists this ribosomal RNA (393 nucleotides) under uncultured bacterium. Its description in RNAcentral is "bacterial SSU rRNA". It matches the Rfam family "Bacterial small subunit ribosomal RNA", at positions 28 to 420 of the family's 1533-position model. The record is from RNAcentral.